CACACACAUGCACGCACGGAGGGCAGUGGGCGCUGCUCGCACGGAGCGGAGCACCCCGAGGAGCUGCAGGUUGCUCCGCACGCCAGUCAGAGGAUCUCCUCUCCCUGGCUUCCUGAAACAAACCGUUUUUACUGCAUUUUUGUCAAUGAAGGAGUCUCCCGCUCCUCCCGAGACCCGCGGCUCUCCGCCAGCCCGCAGCGAUCCCCGUGGUUCAGCGAUUCUUUCUUCUUCGGGUGCGCUCAUCUUGGGGAGGCUGCAAAGUGGCGCACACGCAGCACACGAGCGACGUUUCCCCCAGGCGUCCAGACCUGACCUCGCUGGCUUGUCAUGCCUCCCGGGGAUGGAGCAGUAGCCUCACGCACAGUGAACCGAGGCAGAGAGAAGUGGAAAUUAAUUGAAGACAGAUUUGGGUGCCCUGCCUGGGACAGCCGCUGCUGGCUCUUCCAGAUCCUGUGAUGUUCAGAGCAUGCAGCCAGCAAUGCGGUCACCAUUUUGCCAGAUCUCAGCUGGGCACCUAGAGCAGCAAAAAAAUGGAGUUUUCCUUUUCAUAAGUUUGAUUUUAAACAACAUGAUAACACGAACUAUGUCUAUACAUAUGCCUAUGUAUGUUCAUAAUACCUCCUGGACUUUUUAAAUGAGAAAAAGGAAAGAUAACGAAAUCAUCAUAUGGCAUUGCCCAGGUCAGAGCUGGCUUAGGACCCUUCCCUCCACCAUGCAGACCCCCAUCAGUCUCCCUCUAGCAGCACCUAGCAGAUGCUAGUGGGGAUAGCAGGGAUAGCAGAUUGCCAUUUGCUGCACUAAGCAGAGCAGGACUUUUUUUCCAGCUGUUUCCUCACAGCUGGGAGGUGGCAAAACCUUGUGAUAUUGUUUCUGUCAGAGCCAGAAGGAGUGUUUAUUCUUGUGACCUUGCUUCCAGCCAUCCAUGCUCAUGUCCCUUCCAACUAGGCCCCGUCCAAGUGUUCACAGAAUCACACAGAAUCACAGAACCAUAGGAGCUGGAAGGGACCUCUGGAGAUCACACAGUCCAACCACCUGCUAAAGCAGGUUCCCUGCAGUAGCACAGGAAAACAUCCAGGUGGAUUUGGAAUAUCUCCAGAGAAGGAAACUCCACAACCUCUCUGAGCCGCCUGUUCCAGUGCUCCAUCACUCCCACAGUAAAGAAGUUCUUCCUUGUGUUACCUCUUUCAUACAUCAGUUACCCUUCAUGUGGACCUAGUCCCACAUCAAGCUUCUCAUUCCCGUUGCCUUGCCAACACAGUCAUCAUCAUCACAGUUCUCUUCUUUCUCUGCCAGUCCAUCUCAGUCUGUCUCCCUGUCUCAUUCCAGGCCUCCUCAUCACCACACAGCCCUGC
This 1352-nucleotide long non-coding RNA is filed under the name Numida meleagris (helmeted guineafowl). RNAcentral's name for it is "lncRNA (ENSNMEG00000017746.1)". The record is from RNAcentral. Lineage: Eukaryota; Metazoa; Chordata; Aves; Galliformes; Numididae.